Molecule: ribosomal RNA, 408 nt
Filed under: uncultured bacterium
Lineage: Bacteria
Description: partial 16S ribosomal RNA
Rfam family: Bacterial small subunit ribosomal RNA
Source: RNAcentral
GACGAACGCUGGCGGCGUGCUUAACACAUGCAAGUCGAACGCAGUGGCGAACGGGUGAGUAACGCGUAAUCAACCUGCUCUUCAGAGGGGGACAACAGUUGGAAACGACUGCUCAUACCGCAUACUGAAGGAGGUGAUUGCGUCUGAUUAGCUAGUGGGAGGGGUAACGGCCCACCAAGGCGAUGAUCAGUAGCCGGUCUGAGAAGAUGAACGGCCACAUUGGGACUGGGACACGGCCCAGACUCCUACGGGAGGCAGCAGUGGGGAAUCUUCCGCAAUGGACGAAAGUCUGACGGAGCAACGCCGCGUGAGUGAUGACGGCCUUCGGGUUGUAAAGCUCUGUUAAUCGGGACGCGGUACCGGAAUAGAAAGCCACGGCUAACUACGUGCCAGCAGCCGCGGUAAUUC